GACGAACGCUGGCGGCGUGCCUAACACAUGCAAGUCGAACGGAACUGUUUUGAAAGAUUUCUUCGGAAUGAAUUUGAUUUAGUUUAGUGGCGGACGGGUGAGUAACGCGUGAGUAACCUGCCUUCAAGAGGGGAAUAACAUUCUGAAAAGAAUGCUAAUACCGCAUGACAUAUCGGAACCACAUGGUUUUGAUAUCAAAGAUUUUAUCGCUUGAAGAUGGACUCGCGUCCGAUUAGUUAGUUGGUGAGGUAACGGCUCACCAAGACCGCGAUCGGUAGCCGGACUGAGGGGUUGAACGGCCACAUUGGGACUGAGACACGGCCCAGACUCCUACGGGAGGCAGCGGUGGGGGAUAUUGCGCAAUGGGGGCAACCCUGACGCAGCAACGCCGCGUGAAGGAUGAAGGUUUUCGGAUUGUAAACUUCUUUUAUUAAGGACGAAAAAUGACGGUACUUAAUGAAUAAGCUCCGGCUAACUACGUG
This 482-nucleotide ribosomal RNA is filed under the name uncultured bacterium. RNAcentral describes it as "partial 16S ribosomal RNA". It matches the Rfam family "Bacterial small subunit ribosomal RNA", at positions 28 to 507 of the family's 1533-position model. The record is from RNAcentral.